GGUUUGUAGCUCAGUGGUAGAGCUCUAGCCUAGAAGAUGAGAGGCCCUGGGUUUGAUCCUCAGCACCA
RNAcentral lists this transfer RNA (68 nucleotides) under Marmota monax (woodchuck). RNAcentral's name for it is "tRNA.Ser". Lineage: Eukaryota; Metazoa; Chordata; Mammalia; Rodentia; Sciuridae. The record is from RNAcentral.